RNAcentral lists this long non-coding RNA (119 nucleotides) under Felis catus (domestic cat). Its description in RNAcentral is "lncRNA (ENSFCAG00000042511.2)". Lineage: Eukaryota; Metazoa; Chordata; Mammalia; Carnivora; Felidae. The record is from RNAcentral.
UCACCGAACAGAAUUAGUCACGUGGCCCUGCCUAACCUCAAGGAGGUGCAUGCAGGAAGCAUAUGCAGAAAGGAGAGAAAAAUGGAUAGAGUCUGACAUUAUGAGACGCUGGUGACCUG